This 29-nucleotide small RNA is filed under the name Bombyx mori (domestic silkworm). RNAcentral's name for it is "ovarian small RNA-9211". The record is from RNAcentral. Lineage: Eukaryota; Metazoa; Arthropoda; Insecta; Lepidoptera; Bombycidae.
UGUUGAUGCCUAGUCCUUUCCAGUCCAGA